GCUGCCCUCUUUCUUCGUGCCUAAUACAUGCAAGUCGAGCGAACAGACGAGGAGCUUGCUCCUCUGACGUUAGCGGCGGACGGGUGAGUAACACGUGGAUAACCUACCUAUAAGACUGGGAUAACUUCGGGAAACCGGAGCUAAUACCGGAUAAUAUAUUGAACCGCAUGGUUCAAUAGUGAAAGACGGUUUUGCUGUCACUUAUAGAUGGAUCCGCGCCGCAUUAGCUAGUUGGUAAGGUAACGGCUUACCAAGGCAACGAUGCGUAGCCGACCUGAGAGGGUGAUCGGCCACACUGGAACUGAGACACGGUCCAGACUCCUACGGGAGGCAGCAGUAGGGAAUCUUCCGCAAUGGGCGAAAGCCUGACGGAGCAACGCCGCGUGAGUGAUGAAGGUCUUCGGAUCGUAAAACUCUGUUAUUAGGGAAGAACAAAUGUGUAAGUAACUAUGCACGUCUUGACGGUACCUAAUCAGAAAGCCACGGCUAACUACGUG
Molecule: ribosomal RNA, 497 nt
Filed under: uncultured bacterium
Lineage: Bacteria
Description: partial 16S ribosomal RNA
Rfam family: Bacterial small subunit ribosomal RNA
Source: RNAcentral